RNAcentral lists this ribosomal RNA (427 nucleotides) under uncultured Staphylococcus sp. RNAcentral's name for it is "bacterial SSU rRNA". It matches the Rfam family "Bacterial small subunit ribosomal RNA", at positions 353 to 772 of the family's 1533-position model. The record is from RNAcentral. Lineage: Bacteria; Bacillati; Bacillota; Bacilli; Caryophanales; Staphylococcaceae.
AGUAGGGAAUCUUCCGCAAUGGGCGAAAGCCUGACGGAGCAACGCCGCGUGAGUGAUGAAGGUCUUCGGAUCGUAAAACUCUGUUAUCAGGGAAGAACAAAUGUGUAAGUAACUGUGCACAUCUUGACGGUACCUGAUCAGAAAGCCACGGCUAACUACGUGCCAGCAGCCGCGGUAAUACGUAGGUGGCAAGCGUUAUCCGGAAUUAUUGGGCGUAAAGCGCGCGUAGGCGGUUUUUUAAGUCUGAUGUGAAAGCCCACGGCUCAACCGUGGAGGGUCAUUGGAAACUGGAAAACUUGAGUGCAGAAGAGGAAAGUGGAAUUCCAUGUGUAGCGGUGAAAUGCGCAGAGAUAUGGAGGAACACCAGUGGCGAAGGCGACUUUCUGGUCUGUAACUGACGCUGAUGUGCGAAAGCGUGGGGAUCAAA